This 433-nucleotide ribosomal RNA is filed under the name uncultured bacterium. Its description in RNAcentral is "partial 16S ribosomal RNA". It matches the Rfam family "Bacterial small subunit ribosomal RNA", at positions 29 to 507 of the family's 1533-position model. The record is from RNAcentral.
AGCGAACGCUGGCGGCAGGCCUAACACAUGCAAGUCGAACGAACUCUUCGGAGUUAGUGGCGGACGGGUGAGUAACACGUGGGAACGUGCCUUUUGGUUCGGAAUAACUCAGGGAAACUUGUGCUAAUACCGAAUGUGCCCUUCGGGGGAAAGAUUUAUCGCCAUUAGAGCGGCCCGCGUCUGAUUAGCUAGUUGGUGAGGUAACGGCUCACCAAGGCGACGAUCAGUAGCUGGUCUGAGAGGAUGACCAGCCACACUGGGACUGAGACACGGCCCAGACUCCUACGGGAAGCAGCAGUGGGGAAUCUUGCGCAAUGGGCGAAAGCCUGACGCAGCCAUGCCGCGUGAAUGAUGAAGGCCUUAGGAUUGUAAAAUUCUUUCACCGGGGACGAUAAUGACGGUACCCGGAGAAGAAGCCCCGGCUAACUUCGUG